Molecule: unclassified non-coding RNA, 1755 nt
Filed under: Hevea brasiliensis (rubber tree)
Lineage: Eukaryota; Viridiplantae; Streptophyta; Magnoliopsida; Malpighiales; Euphorbiaceae
Source: RNAcentral
GCAAAAACAGGAAUUACAGCAUCAGUUUUAGAAUGCAAUAGCAAGAUAGAAAGGUAAAAUUCUGAAUACACUAGGGAAAGGCAUAGUACAUUAUUGGCAUAAGAAUAUGAUAUUACAGGAUAAGUCCAAGAAAUGGACAGAAGCAAUUUUCACAAUUUAUAUGUUUUUGCUACUUUAAUAAUUGAGGACUGCUGAGUAAACUCUGGUUUUUGUCUAAAAUAAUAAGCUUAUACCAUCAUAACUUUUUUCCUUUAGAAAUGAGAAUCUCCCCGUAAGGAACUUUCUGUUCAACUCUUAGGAAAUCACGAGAAGCAAGAACACAAGUUUGAUAAAAGAGCAUAGCUGCUCCUUUUCGGUUCAUUCCAACCGAUAGCUUGUUCAAGGAUUCUACUAGAGGGGUUCCUGGUGUCUCAAAAUGUGCUUUCAUCUGCAUUCGGAUGGUGUCAGUUAUCUUGUCCACUGGCUGACUGAUGAUUGGAUGUUGGGUUUGUGUAGGUCCAGUUUCCAUCAAUAGUUCUUGAUCAGGUGUUUGGUCAUUCUCAGACAGCCUUGAUAACUUGAAAUUUGGUUCAGGAAACUUCCAUGGAUUCUCUUCUUCUACUGGUUCAAGGCCACUGCCACUGUGUCUAGAUGAAGAGUAAGGCCUUUUCUUGUUUGAUCUUACUGAGUGGGCUUCUGAAUGAUGUGAUGGCAUACCAUGUCCUGAUCCAGAGCUUGGAAUGGAUCUUACUUCAUCUCCAGAAUUUCUAGGUGUCACCAAAUUGGCCUCGGUUAUCUUCCUACCAUUGUUCAUAAGGUUGGCUCUUAGUUCUCCACGAGGAUUUCCAUUGGUAUCUCAUCAUUAGAAACGGUUGUUCACUGUUUCUCUAUGGAAACAGCAAGUGACAGAGGCCCAACACCGUGAAAAUCUUUAAAGGGCUAAUGUCAAAACACUCAAUCAUACACUAUGCAGUGAUUCUUCUUGGAACAAAUUAAUUAAGAGAUGAUUGGAGAGACUUACAUAUCCUGUUGGUUCUUGAUAAUGUUCUCUCUCUGGCAGUGAUGAUGAUGAUGGUUAUGGAGGCAGAGGUGGGGAAGUCCUUGCUGUACAGACAUAAAAUAUGAAUUUACUCCAUUGUCCUUCUUAGGAUGAUAAUCUCAGAAGCGACUGUACCUACACUCUCACCAGAAGGUUUGUAAUGGGGAGGUUGGGUACUUCUCAUCCAAUGCUGCAGAAGAGGCGCUGGAUAAUAGAUUUCUCUAUUUUCAUAUGCAUAUAUCAUCAAUGAGGACCACAGGUGGUAGAUCCAUCAGGUUAGCUUCCUUCAUUGUAGACAUGAUAUCCCUGCGUGCCUGCAAAAUAUGCAUUGUUGUCCAAGGCUGCUUUGUUUUUCAUAAUGUUUGUCUUGCAAGGGUAGACACCUGCAAAAAUAUUGAAAUUUUAAAAAGUUACAGGCAAUUUAGCACGUUCUCAACCAAUCCAAUUGUCUCCUGACAUACAUGAUAAUUAAAAGAUUCUUUGCACAAGUUUGAAAUGUGAACCAUGUUGGAGAUCACGCACAAACCUUUAUUUUUCUUCCUCGUCUUGAGGCAGUAUCAAAAGCACUUUGAAGCCACAACUGGUAUGUAUGAACCGGAAUCUUGGUUUGUUCAUAAUCUAUCGCUGGAGUUGCAUAUCUUCCUUUUGGCCUUUUAUUGGGUCCUUGCCCAAUUUAAUCCUGUUUCAUCCCCUCUUUCAACGUCAUUUAAACUUGUAUCAUCUUUUCUUAAUCUAAC